AAACAAAAAAAAAAAAACCCACCACUCACUCACCUCACCGUCACCACUCCCUCACCUCACACGUCAAACACCUCACCACUCCUCACCUCACACACGGCCAUCAACGGCGGCUGCUGAAGGAGUUCCUAGGCAACGAUCAACGGCGGCACAAGGACGGGCUGAUCUCCGCCGUCGGCAACGAUCAACGAAGGCAGAAGGAUGGGCUGAUGUUCUUCGUUGACAAUGAUCAACGGCGGCACAAGCAU
This 245-nucleotide long non-coding RNA is filed under the name Citrus sinensis (sweet orange). Its description in RNAcentral is "long non-coding RNA (CSIN_LNC005583)". Lineage: Eukaryota; Viridiplantae; Streptophyta; Magnoliopsida; Sapindales; Rutaceae. The record is from RNAcentral.